RNAcentral lists this transfer RNA (73 nucleotides) under Merluccius polli (Benguela hake). RNAcentral's name for it is "tRNA-Gln". It matches the Rfam family "tRNA". From Rfam's summary of the family: Transfer RNA (tRNA) molecules are approximately 80 nucleotides in length. Their secondary structure includes four short double-helical elements and three loops (D, anti-codon, and T loops). Further hydrogen bonds mediate the characteristic L-shaped molecular structure. tRNAs have two regions of fundamental functional importance: the anti-codon, which is responsible for specific mRNA codon recognition, and the 3' end, to which the tRNAs corresponding amino acid is attached (by aminoacyl-tRNA synthetases). tRNAs cope with the degeneracy of the genetic code in two manners: having more than one tRNA (with a specific anti-codon) for a particular amino acid; and 'wobble' base-pairing, i.e. permitting non-standard base-pairing at the 3rd anti-codon position. Lineage: Eukaryota; Metazoa; Chordata; Actinopteri; Gadiformes; Merlucciidae. The record is from RNAcentral.
GUUUCUAUGGUGUAAUGGUGUGCACGCUGGACUCUGAAUCCAAUGAACUGAGUUCAAAUCUCAGUGGAACCUA